Molecule: long non-coding RNA, 748 nt
Filed under: Brassica napus (rape)
Lineage: Eukaryota; Viridiplantae; Streptophyta; Magnoliopsida; Brassicales; Brassicaceae
Description: long non-coding RNA (BNAP_LNC007782)
Source: RNAcentral
UUCUCUUAUAUAUAUAUAUAACCAAAAGGAACUUACAAACACAUAUGUAUAUCUAUCUAUAUAGUAUAAUAUCAGUGUGUGUAUGUGAGAUAGAGUGUGCACGAAACACAAAAGUGAGAGUUCCAAAACGAGUUAAACAAACUAGUUAUUAAAAAAACAAAUAAAUUUGUCAAGGUUUGAAAAGGAGGCCACGCCAUUGAGGCUCGUUCUCGGGGUUGUCUGUCUUGGGACAAACACAAGUUUCAAACCCAAUUUGUCGAGUCUUCACCUUUCUGUCUUUGUUUUGUCUCUUUUCUUUCGCAUAUCCCACACGUUCUGUAUCUAUUUAUCUACCAUUCUCCAUUUAAGUUUUUUCAUAUAUAUUAUCAUCUUAUACAAAAUGUAUGUAUAAGUGUAAUGAAAAAAAAAAAACAAAAUGUAUGUAUAUAAAGAGCUCAUAGUGGAUCAUCGUUCAGAACCCUUCUUUACACAUGUAAUUUAUCUUCAUUUUUUGUGUUACAAAAAUUGGUUCUACUUUUACUAUAUGGAAGAUCAAACUAGUUAUUAAAAAAACAAAUAAAUUUGUCAAGGUUUGAAAAGGAGGCCACGCCAUUGAGGCUCGUUCUCGGGGUUGUCUGUCUUGGGACAAACACAAGUUUCAAACCCAAUUUGUCGAGUCUUCACCUUUCUGUCUUUGUUUUGUCUCUUUUCUUUCGCAUAUCCCACACGUUCUGUAUCUAUUUAUCUACCAUUCUCCAUUUAAGUUUUU